CCUACGGGAGGCAGCAGUCGAGAAUCAUUCACAAUGGGGGAAACCCUGAUGGUGCGACGCCGCGUGGGGGAAUGAAGGUCUUCGGAUUUUAAACCCCUGUCAUGUGGGAGCAAAUUAAAAAGAUAGUACCACAAGAGGAAGAUACGGCUAACUCUGUGCCAGCAGCCGCGGUAAUACAGAGGUCUCAAGCGUUGUUCGGAAUCACUGGGCGUAAAGCGUGCGUAGGCUGUUUCGUAAGUCGUGUGUGAAAGGCGCGGGCUCAACCCGCGGACGGCACAUGAUACUGCGAGACUAGAGUAAUGGAGGGGGAACCGGAAUUCUCGGUGUAGCAGUGAAAUGCGUAGAUAUCGAGAGGAACACUCGUGGCGAAGGCGAGUUCCUGGACAUUAACUGACGCUGAGGCACGAAGGCCAGGGGAGCGAAAGGGAUUAGAUACCCCAGUAGUC
This 446-nucleotide ribosomal RNA is filed under the name uncultured bacterium. RNAcentral's name for it is "partial 16S ribosomal RNA". It matches the Rfam family "Bacterial small subunit ribosomal RNA", at positions 338 to 795 of the family's 1533-position model. The record is from RNAcentral.